UUAGUUUUUUCUUUUUUAUUUUUUAGUAUUGCAUACUAUUUGAAGAGUAUAACAUUUUGUUUAUGUUGUAUAGAAUGAGAAGGUAGAGAACUGGCGGGGGUUUAUUUGUUUCAUAAAUAAAAUUAUUAGUUUUGGUGUUGAUAUGUCGGCUUCUUUGUUAUCUGUUUAUUGUGUUUUAUUAGAAAAUUGUAGGUUUGAUUUGUAGAAUUUGGGGGUUGAGAUCUUGUAGUGUUCUUGUUUUGUGUUUUAUAACGUUUUCUUUUUUGGUGUUUAAGUUAGUUUGAGUUUUGUUAAGUUUUUAACAAAUUUAUGAUUUUAAAUUUAGUAAUUUGUUUUAAAUUUUGUUUAUUGGUUUAAUUUAUUUGUGUGAACUUGUUGUUUGGUUAAAUGUUUUUUAAAGACUUAGGUCUUUUUUAAGGCUGGCCUCUGCUCUAUGUUUUUAUAAAUGGCAGUCUUAGCGUGAGGACAUUAAGGUAGCAAAAUAAUUUGUGCUUUUAAUGGGUUCUAGUAUGAAUGGGGUUAGUAGCUGAUUUUUUACUUUUAUUUUUGUGAAUUAGGUUUGUGUUUAAGAAAUAAUAGUUGGUAUUGAACAAAGAUAAGUCUUCGGAAAUUUUUUUGUUGAAAAUUUUUUUUAUUUUUUUAAUAUGUUUUCUAGGGUAGAAUGUUUUGUAACUUUUUUUUCUAUUAAUAAGUAAUAAAAUUACUUCGGAGUUAACAGAAAAUCAUAUCUAAUUUAGUUCUUAUAAUAGUGAUAAGUUUUACAUCGAUGUUGUAUUCUAGUUCUUGGAGGGAGGAGAGGACUUUGGGUUUUAGACUGUUCUUCUUUUAAUAAACUAGACGUGAUAUUAGUUUAAUUCAUCGUGAGAUAGAAUUGUUUAUCUUGUCAAUAUUUGUAGUUUUGGUGCUGAAAGUACGAAAGGAAAUUUGUUAAGGUUUUAUAACUUUUUUGAAAGUGGUACUUUUU
This 964-nucleotide ribosomal RNA is filed under the name Baylisascaris procyonis (raccoon roundworm). Its description in RNAcentral is "16S ribosomal RNA". Lineage: Eukaryota; Metazoa; Nematoda; Chromadorea; Rhabditida; Ascarididae. The record is from RNAcentral.